UAACUGGUCCGCCAGGCUCCUCAGGUGCGC
Molecule: small RNA, 30 nt
Filed under: Bombyx mori (domestic silkworm)
Lineage: Eukaryota; Metazoa; Arthropoda; Insecta; Lepidoptera; Bombycidae
Description: ovarian small RNA-19034
Source: RNAcentral